AAUAAAAUCAGUUGGAAACAUAAUGUCGUCCAACUUGUGUAUGUAUGAGUAAUGGAGCUCAGGGAUCGAAAAUGGCCGCUGUUCGAGGCAGCACAACGGGUGAUGUCACGUGAAAACAACCCAUUGCUGAGUGCCACCUGGUAUUUCAUAGAAUGAUCUAUUUGAAGAACUGUCUCGUCUAUUGUGACAAUCGACAGCACAAGAGAUGGUAAUCUAUAGAAUG
Molecule: long non-coding RNA, 223 nt
Organism: Syngnathoides biaculeatus (alligator pipefish)
Lineage: Eukaryota; Metazoa; Chordata; Actinopteri; Syngnathiformes; Syngnathidae
Exons: 3
Source: RefSeq, a predicted model, not a curated record